Molecule: ribosomal RNA, 478 nt
Filed under: uncultured bacterium
Lineage: Bacteria
Description: partial 16S ribosomal RNA
Rfam family: Bacterial small subunit ribosomal RNA
Source: RNAcentral
GACGAACGCUGGCGGCGUGCUUAGCACAUGCAAGUCGAACGGUAAGGCCCUUCGGGGUACACGAGUGGCGAACGGGUGAGUAACACGUGGGUGAUCUGCCCUGCACUUCGGGAUAAGCCUGGGAAACUGGGUCUAAUACCGGAUAGGACCACUGCCUGCAUGGGGGGUGGUGGAAAGCUGUUGCGGUGUGGGAUGGGCCCGCGGCCUAUCAGCUUGUUGGUGGGGUGAUGGCCUACCAAGGCGACGACGGGUAGCCGGCCUGAGAGGGUGACCGGCCACACUGGGACUGAGAUACGGCCCAGACUCCUACGGGAGGCAGCAGUGGGGAAUAUUGCACAAUGGGCGCAAGCCUGAUGCAGCGACGCCGCGUGAGGGAUGACGGCCUUCGGGUUGUAAACCUCUUUCAGCACCGACGAAGCGCAAGUGACGGUAGGUGCAGAAGAAGGACCGGCCAACUACGUGCCAGCAGCCGCCGUAA